This is a long non-coding RNA of Notothenia coriiceps (black rockcod), 306 nucleotides long. RefSeq lists it as uncharacterized. The record is from RefSeq and is a predicted model, not a curated record. Lineage: Eukaryota; Metazoa; Chordata; Actinopteri; Perciformes; Nototheniidae. The transcript is spliced from 3 exons.
UCCAACAGGAAGAAGGUGAGAUCAGCACCACCCCUAAAGUGUCUGCCUGUAGCACGCCAGACAUGCCAAGGAAGCCAUGGGACAGAACUAACACCAUGAACGGUAGCAAAUCUCCAGCAAUUGGAAGACUAGAGUCUUCGUGGAGAAAUCCCACUGGAUCAGAGUCCUGCAGCAGGUAGAGAGUGUGAUAUCCCUCCUCUCUGAAACAAUGAUGGGGGUGUAAUGGAGAGGGUGUUUUUAUGAAACCUUUGGACAUGCUCCUGUGUGUCUUGUCUUCUGUUCUUACUGAUGUCUAUCUUUCUAAAC